UGUUGUUAACAGUUUAAUAUUUGGUAUGUCAUCUAUUUGGGGACUAUAUAUUAAAUGGAUUUUUGGCACUGGGAGAUGGAAUAGGGGUUUGCUCUGUCCACUCCACACAUUGAUGUGGUAUUGCAUAAUCUCCAGAAUGGUGC
This 143-nucleotide small nuclear RNA is filed under the name Pogona vitticeps (central bearded dragon). Its description in RNAcentral is "U2 spliceosomal RNA (ENSPVIG00000023834.1)". It matches the Rfam family "U2 spliceosomal RNA", at positions 41 to 185 of the family's 192-position model. Rfam says of the family: U2 is a small nuclear RNA (snRNA) component of the spliceosome (involved in pre-mRNA splicing). Lineage: Eukaryota; Metazoa; Chordata; Lepidosauria; Squamata; Agamidae. The record is from RNAcentral.